CCCAGAGCAGUGUUGAGUAUCCUCCAGUUCUGUCCUUUCUCAGGGUCAAGAACACACUUCCUAAAACCGUGCUGACUCAAGUUACUGCUGCUGAAGUGGCUUAAACAGCACUAACAUCGACAUCCAACUUUAUAAUCACAACUGCAAACCAACAGAUUCAUGCAUCGAACUCAUUCAAUUAUAAUAACAAGAAGCCCAGACUAACAACAUUAAUUUUAUAUGAUGGCGUGUGGAAGUGACUUGCCUCUCAGGUCUGGAACUGUUCCAAGCUGGCAGCCUUCACUUCUUCAAAUG
This 294-nucleotide long non-coding RNA is filed under the name Rattus norvegicus (Norway rat). RNAcentral's name for it is "long non-coding RNA NONRATT032173". The record is from RNAcentral. Lineage: Eukaryota; Metazoa; Chordata; Mammalia; Rodentia; Muridae.